This 2508-nucleotide ribosomal RNA is filed under the name Capsicum annuum var. glabriusculum (American bird pepper). Its description in RNAcentral is "eukaryotic LSU rRNA". It matches the Rfam family "Eukaryotic large subunit ribosomal RNA", at positions 1 to 2558 of the family's 3401-position model. Lineage: Eukaryota; Viridiplantae; Streptophyta; Magnoliopsida; Solanales; Solanaceae. The record is from RNAcentral.
CCGACCCUAGGUCAGGAAGGAUUAACCGUUGAGUUUAAGCAUAUCAAUAAGAGGAGGAAAAGAAACAUACAAGGAUUUUCUUAGUAACAGCGAGCAAACCGGGAACAACCUAGCCUUAGAAUCGGGUGGCUUCGUUAUCUAAAUUAUAGUCAUAAGAAUCAUCCUUAGCGGCGGACCAGGCCAAAGUCCCCUAGAAGGGGGCGCUAGAGAGGGUGACAUCCCUGUUGUGCCCAAGCCUGUCACAACACGAGACGCUGUCUACGAGUCAGGUUGUUCAGAAAUGCAGCCCAAAUUGGGUGGUGAAUUCCAUCUAAGACUAAAUAUGGGAGAGAGAUCAAUAUCGAAUAAGUUCUGCGAGGGAAAGAUGAAAAGGACUUUGAAAAGAGAGUUAAAAAGUGCUUGAAAUUAUCGGGAGAAAAGAGGAUGGUUGCUGGUGAUGCACCUCGGUCAAAUAUGGAAUGAAGACGAGCUAGUCUGUCGAUCUACUUGAGGCGUGGAUCAGCAUGGAUUGGUGGGCAGACCAGGCUCUCGAUACGCUCGUGGAAUAUCGCCUCCUCGAUUGUGGCAGGAAGAGCGCGCCUUUGGAGUGAUUCGGUAUCUAUGUCCUCUGGAUGCGGGCCUGUGGGCUCCCUAUUUGACCCUUCUUGAAACACAAAUCAAGGAGUCUAACAUAUGUGCGAGUCAAUGAGUGAGUAAACCCAUAAGGUGUAAGAAAGCUAAUUGGUGGGAUCCCCCUUGAGGGGUGCACCGCCGACCGAUCUUGAUCUUUUGAGAAGGGUUCGAGUGUGAUCAUACCUAUUGAGACACGAAAUAUAGUGAUCUAUGCCUGAGCAGGGCGAAGCCAUAGAAACUCUGGUGGAGACCCGCAAUGAUACUGAUGUGUAAAUCGUUCAUCUAACUUGGGUGUAGGGGAUAAAUACCAAUCAAACCAUCUAGUAUUAGGUUUCCUCCAAGGUUUCCCUCAGGAUAGUUGGAGCUUCUGUACAAGUUCUAUCUGGUAAAGCCAAUGAUUAGGGGCCUCGGGGGUGCAACGCCCUCAACCUAUUCUCAAACUUUUAAUAGGUAAGAUGGCACGACUGCUUUGUUGAGCCACACCACAGAAUCAAGAGCUCCAAGUAGGCCAUUUUUAGUAAGCAGAACUGACUAUACGAGAUGAACUGGAAGUCGGGUUACAGUGCCAAACUGUUCACUAACCUAGAUCUCACAAAGGGUGUAGGUCGAUUAAGACAGCUGGAAAUGUGUAACAACUUACCUACCAAAUCAACUAGCCCAAAAAAUGGAUGGCACUUAAGCGCACGACCUACACCUGGCCGUCAGGGCAAGUGCAAGGCCCCAAUGAGUAGGAGGAAGCGGUGGUCUCUACAAAACCUUGGGCGUGAGCCUCUGUGGAGCUGUUGUCGGUGCAGAUCUUAGUGGUAGUAGCAAAUAUUUAAAUUAGAACUUUGAAGGCCUAAUAAAAGAAAGAUUCCAUGUGAACGACACUUGCACAUGGGUUAGUCGAUCCUAAAGGUCGGGGGUUCCCCGAUAGAUAACGCAUUUCUCGCGUACUUCAAAAGAGAAUCGGGUUAAAAUUCCUUAAUUAGGAUAUGGCGGUCAACGACAAUGUUAGAAAGUUUUGAGAUAUCGGCAGGAGCCUCAGAAAGAGUUACCUUUUCUGCUUAAUAGCCUGGCCAUCCUAUAAUUGGCUCAGUCGGAGGUAGGGUCCAGCAGUUGGAAGAGCACUGCACGUUGCGUGGUGUCUGAUGCACUCCCAGUGGCACUUGAAAACUAGAGGAUCGAAUGCCGUCCAUGCCUGGUUGUACUCAUAACCGCAUCAGGUCUCCAUUAUGAACAUCCUCUAAUCGAUGGAACAAUGUAGACAAGUGAAGUUGGUAAAAUGGAUCUGUAACUUAGGAAAAAGGAUUGGCUUUGAAGUCCGGGAAUGGGGGUCCCAGCCUCUAACUCAUUGGUUGUCUAUGGACUGCUCGAGAUGCUCUCAUGGCGAGAGCAGGUCACCACAGCCAGUCGGGGGAUGGACUGAGAACAGUUCCUUUGGGGGCCUUCCCCGCGCAUCGAACAACCAACUCUUAACUGGUACGGUCAUAGGGAAUCUGACUGUUUAUUUAAAACAAAGCAUUGCGAUGGACCCAAUGGAUGUUCACACAAUAUGAUUUUAUCCCAAUGCUCUGAAUGUCAAACUGAAGAAAUUCAACCAAGCGUGGGUAAACAGAGUAACUAUGACUCUCUUAAGGUAUCCAAAUGCCUUGUCAUCUAAUUAGUGAUGCGCAUGAAUGGAUUAAUAAGAUUUCCACUGUCCCUAUCUACUAUCCAUAAAAUCACCGUUAAAGGAGCUGACUUGGCAAAAAUCAACGGGGAAAGAAAACCCUGUUAAGCUUGACUCUAGUCCGACUUUGUGAAAUGACUUGAGAGGUGUAGUAUAAGUGGGAGUCGAAAGGCAAAAUUUAAAUACCACUAUUUUAAAGUUAUUUUACUUAUUUCGUGAAUCAGAAGUGGGGCAUUGCCCCUCUU